RNAcentral lists this ribosomal RNA (253 nucleotides) under uncultured bacterium. RNAcentral describes it as "partial 16S ribosomal RNA". It matches the Rfam family "Bacterial small subunit ribosomal RNA", at positions 524 to 776 of the family's 1533-position model. The record is from RNAcentral.
UACGUAGGGUGCGAGCGUUGUCCGGAAUUACUGGGCGUAAAGAGCUUGUAGGUGGUUUGUCGCGUUGUUCGUGAAAUCUCACGGCUCAACUGUGAGCGUGCGGGCGAUACGGGCAGACUAGAGUACUGCAGGGGAGACUGGAAUUCCUGGUGUAGCGGUGAAAUGCGCAGAUAUCAGGAGGAACACCGGUGGCGAAGGCGGGUCUCUGGGCCGAUACUGACACUGAGGAGCGAAAGCGUGGGGAGCGAACAGG